Molecule: long non-coding RNA, 914 nt
Filed under: Lonchura striata (white-rumped munia)
Lineage: Eukaryota; Metazoa; Chordata; Aves; Passeriformes; Estrildidae
Description: domestica (Bengalese finch) lncRNA (ENSLSDG00000001670.1)
Source: RNAcentral
UCCUGAUGGGGUGUGCAUUUUUUUGGGCCCAUCCUGAUGGGGUGUGCAUUUUUUUGGGCUGAACCUGCCUCUCGGGUGUUUUUCCUGGGCCCCAGGAGAUCUUCGGGCCCAUCCUGGCCGUGUUCGUGUACCCCGAGCAGCGCUACCGCGAGGUGCUGGAGCUCAUCGACACCACCACCCCCUACGGCCUCACGGGGGCGAUCUUCGCCCGGGAGAAGGCUGCCAUCGAGGAGUCCCUGCGGGUGCUGCGCCACGCCGCCGGCAACAUCUACAUCAACGACAAAUCCACGGGGGCCGUGGUGGCCCAGCAGCCCUUCGGGGGCUCCCGCAUCUCAGGUGACACCAGGGCUGCUGGCCAGGCCCUCCCCAGCUGUCCCCUGUGUCCCUCCUGUCCCCUGUGUCCCUCCUGUCCUUCCAUGUCCCUCCCAUCCCUCCAUGUCCCUCUUGUCUCUAUGUCCCUCCUGUCCUUCUUGUCCUUCCAUGUCCCCAUCCUCUGUGUCCCCUUGUUCCUCCAAUCCCUGCAUGUCCCUCCCAUUCCUUGUGUCCCCUGUGUCCCUUCUGUGCUCCACGUCCCUCCGUGUCCCUCCUGUCCUCCUUGUCCUUCCAUGUCCCUCCUGUGCCCCGUGUCCCUCCAUGUCCCCAUCCUUUGUGUCACUCCAUGUCCCUCACAUUGCUCUGUGUCCCUCCGUGUCCUUCCCAUCCCUCCAUGUCCCUCCUGUGCUCCUUGUCCUUCCAUGUCCCUCGCAUUCCUUGUGUCCUGUGUCCUUCCCAUCCCUCCGUGUCCCUCCUGUGUCCUGUGUCCUUCCCGUCCCUCCUGUCCCCUGUGUCCCUCCUGUCCCCUUUGUCCCUUGUCCUGUGCCCCUCCCAUCCCUCCUGUUCUCCUUGUCCUUCCAUGUCCCUCCUGUCCCGUGUCC